CUCUCUAAAACUUUUGCUCUCCCUUCUCUCUAGAAAGAAGAAAAAGCAGCGCCCCCUUUUUCCUUUCUUCUCCGGCGAGACCAACUUUCCGGCGCGGUGGCCGGUGGUGGCACCACCGCGCCGGAGUUUCAAAACUCAACCAAAUUCAAAAAAAAUUUCAGUUUUGAAUAUCCUUUUUCUUGCUUUGUGCGAAUCUGAACUUAGAUUUUUGAAAACAAACUCCCGCAAACCUAGAUCUAACAAAGAAAAAUCAAAGAAAAGUGAGCUAAAAACACUACCUUUUGAUCUUCUCCGGUCCGUUUACUCUUCUCCGGUCCGUUCUUUCCUUUUCCGGUUCGUUCUUCCUUGUUUUGGUUCGGAUUGUGUUGCUUUUGGUUCGGAUUUGUGUUGUUGUGGUUCGGAUUUGUGCUGGUUGUUGUUGUUGUUAUUGAGUAAGGUAUUUGAAGUUAUGGUGUUGCUGGGUUUUUCUAUGAAUCUAUGAAUGUUCUUCCUAAACUCAUACUAUUUUCUUUGUAAUUUUUGGGUUUGAUUUGAAAAAGGUUGGAACAGUAGAAAAUUAGGGUUUAUGAAUUGCUGCUGGUUUUCUGACGUGAACAGUGACUUCUCCCAUUUCCCAAUGAUUGACAGUGUUUAAAUAGUGACAAAUUAGGGUUGGCUCUGGUACAAAACAAAAGACCAAAAUGCCCCUGCAGCUGAGACUUGGAGAAAAAGAUUUGACCAAAAAGAUAAAUAGAUAAAUAAAAAAACAAAAUGAAUAAAAUAAAUAAGAAAAUAAUAAAAAAAAUAAAAAGAAAAGAAAAGAAAGAAAGAGGUAACGUGAGUGACUUCUUUUUGUUUUUUCUAAAAAAAAUAAAAAUAAAAAAGAAUAAAUAAAAAUAAACAAACUAGCCUAAAAAGAAAAUAAAAAAGUCCCUUCGGAAUCUGACAUGAGGUACUUCAAAGUAUCCUCCCUGCCGAAAUUUCGAUUGAAAAGAUUAAUAAAAAAAAACGCCUUUUAAAAUGCGAUUAGCCAUUUUAAAAUGACUUGUCUGUUAUGACUAAAAGGAUUAUAAAAUGCGUUUAUAAAAAUGCA
RNAcentral lists this long non-coding RNA (1072 nucleotides) under Medicago truncatula (barrel medic). RNAcentral's name for it is "long non-coding RNA (MTRU_LNC004742)". The record is from RNAcentral. Lineage: Eukaryota; Viridiplantae; Streptophyta; Magnoliopsida; Fabales; Fabaceae.